AAGUAGUCAAGUUUCUUCUUUAAGGACACCUGAAGAGGAUGAUAUGGCUUUCUUUGAAAGACGAUACCAGGAAAGGAUGAAAAUGGAAAAGGCUGCUAAGUUGAAAGGAAAAGCUCCGUUGCCAUCAGCUACAAAACCCUCAUGAAGACUACUGGAGAAAUUAAAACUAUUAUCCAAGUAUCUUUUUCAUGUUUAUUUAAAUGCCAAAUAUAUCUACUGAUUUUUAAGUUGUGUUGUCAACUACCCAUUGUCUAUAACUGUACUGGACACAUCUUGUGUGCCACUGCAAAUCCUGUUGGCCCCAUUUCUUACUCCAUUACUGCUGUGGAACACUUUCCAGCAGGCUUCUGGUAGUGGAAGCCAUUUGAUGGCACCUUGUCUUGGGCGCCUGUCACAGCUCUCUUGCUUCCUUCUGCAGGGAUCUUCUGACACUGUGGCUUGGGAUGCCCACUGGAACCCCACUGUGUCAUACAUAUGCAGCCCAAAGAUGUUGGGGAGCUAGUGACUUUGGGGCCACUCUUGAUUAAUGGGCGGUGGAAGCCCAAUAGAUAAGUGCUCUCCCGUCUGUUGGGACGACAAUUCUGAAAUGCAUUUCAUAAACUUCCUCAGAAAAUCCUAUCGAGCUCCAGUCACCCAUAGCAGUGGCCAACUCAAUAAUAACAUAUCCUUAUGUUAUCUUUUUCUUUUUUCCUUUUCCACUCCUCUACCCCUCCCUCUGUUUCCCUCAGAUCACUUCCCAAAUAAAUUACUUGCAUAACAACA
This 762-nucleotide small RNA is filed under the name Pongo abelii (Sumatran orangutan). RNAcentral's name for it is "processed transcript". The record is from RNAcentral. Lineage: Eukaryota; Metazoa; Chordata; Mammalia; Primates; Hominidae.